UACGUAGGGGGCGAGCGUUGUCCGGAUUUAUUGGGCGUAAAGAGCGUGUAGGCGGUUCGGUAAGUCUGUCGUGAAAUCCUGAGGCUCAACCUCGGGCGUGCGAUGGAUACUGCCGGGCUAGAGGGUGGUAGAGGAGAGUGGAAUUCCACGUGUAGCGGUGAAAUGCGUAGAGAUGUGGAGGAACACCAGUGGCGAAGGCGACUCUCUGGUCUGUAACUGACGCUGAGGCGCGAAAGCGUGGGGAGCAAACAGG
RNAcentral lists this ribosomal RNA (253 nucleotides) under uncultured bacterium. RNAcentral's name for it is "partial 16S ribosomal RNA". It matches the Rfam family "Bacterial small subunit ribosomal RNA", at positions 524 to 776 of the family's 1533-position model. The record is from RNAcentral.